UUUUAUAAAAUAUUUAUAUUUUACAGUUUAUAAUUGUUAUUAAGUAACGCUAUACGACAAAUCCAUGAGACAAUUGUUAAAAAACUGAAGUUUUAAU
RNAcentral lists this small RNA (97 nucleotides) under Arabidopsis thaliana (thale cress). RNAcentral describes it as "ATSL189910". The record is from RNAcentral. Lineage: Eukaryota; Viridiplantae; Streptophyta; Magnoliopsida; Brassicales; Brassicaceae.